GAAGAACAGCUAGAAUAGGAAAUGAUUUUAGUUUGACGGUACCAUACCAGAAAGGGACGGCUAAAUACGUGCCAGCAGCCGCGGUAAUACGUAUGUCCCGAGCGUUAUCCGGAUUUAUUGGGCGUAAAGCGAGCGCAGACGGUUUAUUAAGUCUGAUGUGAAAGCCCGGAGCUCAACUCCGGAAUGGCAUUGGAAACUGGUUAACUUGAGUGCAGUAGAGGUAAGUGGAACUCCAUGUGUAGCGGUGGAAUGCGUAGAUAUAUGGAAGAACACCAGUGGCGAAGGCGGCUUACUGGACUGCAACUGACGUUGAGGCUCGAAAGUGUGGGUAGCAAACAGGAUUAGAUAC
Molecule: ribosomal RNA, 349 nt
Filed under: Leuconostoc mesenteroides
Lineage: Bacteria; Bacillati; Bacillota; Bacilli; Lactobacillales; Lactobacillaceae
Description: bacterial SSU rRNA
Rfam family: Bacterial small subunit ribosomal RNA
Source: RNAcentral